UACGUAGGGUGCGAGCGUUGUCCGGAAUUAUUGGGCGUAAAGAGCUCGUAGGCGGUGUGUCACGUCGGCCGUGAAAACCUGCAGCUUAACUGUGGGCGUGCGGUCGAUACGGGCAUCACUGGAGUUCGGCAGGGGAGACUGGAAUUCCUGGUGUAGCGGUGAAAUGCGCAGAUAUCAGGAGGAACACCGGUGGCGAAGGCGGGUCUCUGGGACGGUACUGACGCUGAGACGCGAAAGCGUGGGGAGCAAACAGG
Molecule: ribosomal RNA, 254 nt
Filed under: uncultured bacterium
Lineage: Bacteria
Description: partial 16S ribosomal RNA
Rfam family: Bacterial small subunit ribosomal RNA
Source: RNAcentral